AGCAGCCGCGGUAAUUCCAGCUCCAAUAGCGUAUAUUAAAGUUGUUGCAGUUAAAAAGCUCGUAGUUGAAUUUCGGGGUUCUACCGUUGGUCGGGCAAUAGUCUGUACUGGCGUGUGGAAUUUCUACCUUCUGGGGAACCAUCAUGUUAUUAAUUUAGCGUGGUGGGAAACCAGGACCUUUACCUUGAAAAAUUAGAGUGUUCAAAGCAGGCUUACGUCUGAAUACAUUAGCAUGGAAUAAUAAAAUAGGACGGUGGUCCUGUUUUGUUGGUUUCUGAAUCACCGUAAUGAUUAAUAGGGAUAGUUGGGGGCAUUAGUAUUCAAUUGUCAGAGGUGAAAUUCUUGGAUUUAUUGAAGACUAACUUCUGCGAAAGCAUUUGCCAAGGAUGUUUUCAUUAAUCAAGAACGAAAGUUAGGGGAUCGAAGACGAUCAGAUACCGUCGUAGUCUU
RNAcentral lists this ribosomal RNA (450 nucleotides) under uncultured Glomeromycotina. RNAcentral describes it as "SSU rRNA". It matches the Rfam family "Eukaryotic small subunit ribosomal RNA", at positions 569 to 1027 of the family's 1831-position model. Lineage: Eukaryota; Fungi; Glomeromycota. The record is from RNAcentral.